This 29-nucleotide non-coding RNA is filed under the name Rattus norvegicus (Norway rat). The record is from RNAcentral. Lineage: Eukaryota; Metazoa; Chordata; Mammalia; Rodentia; Muridae.
UCCUACCUCUAGAGAGCUUUCCAGGCUUC